GCCCGCCUAGCUCAAUCGGAUAGAGCGUCAGACUCUUAUCCGAUCAAUCGCAGAGGGCUAUCUGAAGGCUGCGAGUUCGACCCUCGCGGUGGGCU
Molecule: non-coding RNA, 95 nt
Organism: Gymnopus androsaceus JB14
Lineage: Eukaryota; Fungi; Basidiomycota; Agaricomycetes; Agaricales; Omphalotaceae
Source: the annotation of a GenBank genome assembly